AGAGUUUGAUCCUGGCUCAGGAUGAACGCUAGCGGCAGGCUUAAUACAUGCAAGUCGAACGGGAUUCGGGGUAGCAAUACUUUGAUGAGAGUGGCGCACGGGUGCGUAACGCGUAUGCAACCUACCUUUAACAGGGGAAUAGCCCCGAGAAAUCGGGAUUAAUACUCCGUAACAUUGCGGUGUGGCAUCACACUGCAAUUAAAGAUUUAUCGGUUAAAGAUGGGCAUGCGUGACAUUAGCUAGUUGGUGAGGUAACGGCUCACCAAGGCAACGAUGUCUAGGGGUCCUGAGAGGGUUAUCCCCCACACUGGUACUGAGACACGGACCAGACUCCUACGGGAGGCAGCAGUAAGGAAUAUUGGUCAAUGGGCGCAAGCCUGAACCAGCCAUGCCGCGUGCAGGAAGACGGCCCUAUGGGUUGUAAACUGCUUUUAUCAGGGAAUAAACCCCCGCUCGUGAGCGGGGCUGAAGGUACCUGAAGAAUAAGCAUCGGCUAACUCCGUGCCAGCAGCCGCGGUAAUACGGAGGAUGCAAGCGUUAUCCGGAUUCAUUGGGUUUAAAGGGUGCGCAGGCGGAUUGGUAAGUCAGGGGUGAAAUCCCACAGCUCAACUGUGGAACUGCCUUUGAUACUGUCAGUCUAGAGUAUAGUUGAAGUUGGCGGAAUGUGUCAUGUAGCGGUGAAAUGCUUAGAUAUGACACAGAACACCGAUCGCGAAGGCAGCUAGCUAAGCUAUAACUGACGCUCAUGCACGAAAGCGUGGGGAUCAAACAGGAUUAGAUACCCUGGUAGUCCACGCUGUAAACGAUGAUUACUCGAUGUUGGCGAUACACAGUCAGCGUCUGAGCGAAAGCAAUAAGUAAUCCACCUGGGAGUACGAUCGCAAGAUUGAAACUCAAAGGAAUUGACGGGGGCCCGC
This 917-nucleotide ribosomal RNA is filed under the name uncultured Lentimicrobium sp. RNAcentral's name for it is "bacterial SSU rRNA". It matches the Rfam family "Bacterial small subunit ribosomal RNA", at positions 8 to 924 of the family's 1533-position model. Lineage: Bacteria; Pseudomonadati; Bacteroidota; Bacteroidia; Bacteroidales; Lentimicrobiaceae. The record is from RNAcentral.